UCAGGUUAUCCCCCCUUAACCACUGCUUCUCUCAAUGGAGUUUUUGGCAGGUACUAUGACAAAUGUGAACCUGAAAUAGGCAGUGCUCCAAAAUGGAUCCUGAGUGGCUAACUGGGCCUAAAUUUUAAAUAGAGCCAAGUGGCCAUCUGCCAACUAUAGGUCAGAGGUCUCAAGUUCCUCCAAAACCCACACCUCUGUUCAACUUUGGGACUUCCAGAGCUCACCUGAACCAACCAAUCUGAGAUCAUCUGCCUUGACCAAUCAUGGCUUAGCUGCCUCAACCAAUCAGGCUCAGUUGCCUUGACCAAUCAGGGCUCAGUUCUAUCAACCAGUCAGAACUAGAUAAGCCAGCUGCAGAAUAUAUCCUGAGGUACCUGCUUUAUGGAAUUAUUCACACUAUUCACCAACAGGAAGAAUAAAGUCAAUCAAUUCAAGGAGUCUCAGAACAGGAGCACAUAGACACCAAACUUUGUGGGACAACAAAUAUAAUGAAGAGUAUGUUUGCGUCUUUCAAACAAAGCCACGUGAAGUCAAGGCCCUUAACACCCACCCCUCCCACAUACUGAGGGGAGAAUUCAGAUGCCCACUGGAGUCAGCCGAUCAGACUGCCUUUUGCACACUCCUUGCCUCCACUCCAGUUUACCGUGGAAGACCUGUCUGCUAUGGCUGAAUCUGAGAGAGAUCCUUGAGUAACGAAUUAAGGAAUGAACAAAUGUUGCUCUGGACAAAGCUGCAGCUUCCACGUCCUGCAUAACUGCACUCAGUACUGACCCUGAAGAUAGGAAAAGCAAUACAACUGGUGCUAGAAAUGUUAUGAGAAUGACUUGGAUGAGCUGAAAAAUGAAUGAUCUCCUUGAACAAGGCUUGCCUGGAAUUUCGCUUUGCUGCAGAGACAUCUGGAAAUGUGGAUUGAGGGUGGAAAUAAAAUGAAGAUGUCCUGGAAACUUCCAACUGAUCCUUGGGUCUAAUUGGUGUGGGAUAUGCAGCACAAGCGUGAGAAGCCAUGAAGUGAGAGCCCCAACAGGGGCUCAGAGUCAAAAACCUAGAUAUUAGCUCCCAAAGUCCUUCCGAAUCUGCUCCAGCUCCCCACAUCACUCCUAGCUGCCCUUGGCCCUCUCCACCUUUCCCCUCCCGAUUCCUUGGAAAAUAAGCGUUCCUCCCCCACCCCCACCCCCAGCUCUACGAACACAAUAGAGAAGAAAAAAUUGUCUUUUAAGAUAAUUUCCUCCAAAUCCUUCUCAGUUUCAACUGCAUGAAGACAAAAUGCAGGCUGUCAAUUCGAUGAACAGAUUGUGAUUAGGCUGGGGGAGGCUAGAAUUGUAAUAAUUUUAUAGCUACAAUAAUAAAGACCCAGAAGUGGGCAAGACCUAUGCAAGUUCACAGACUAGGUUAAAGAAAAGGCCAGCGUUGAAGAUGUGGGUGAUUUCCAAGAAGGAUAAUCGACUUCGAGACAAGUCAAGAACACGAUCUGGGAAUCAGCUCCCUUGACCUAGAGGCCGGUGUCCUCCCAUGGAUGGCCUUUAAAACAACUGGCUGGCAUAUAAUAAGAGGGGCACCUGUUGGAAGACUCCGGAGAAGGAAGACGCAUCUGAAAUUUGGUGCCAUGACUCGAAUCGGGGGACCUCCCUUGGAAGAUCAAUCCCCUGUCCUCCUGC
Molecule: long non-coding RNA, 1655 nt
Filed under: Homo sapiens (human)
Lineage: Eukaryota; Metazoa; Chordata; Mammalia; Primates; Hominidae
Description: HSALNT0408368
Source: RNAcentral